This 78-nucleotide transfer RNA is filed under the name Desulfuromonadaceae bacterium. RNAcentral describes it as "tRNA-Glu". It matches the Rfam family "tRNA". From Rfam's summary of the family: Transfer RNA (tRNA) molecules are approximately 80 nucleotides in length. Their secondary structure includes four short double-helical elements and three loops (D, anti-codon, and T loops). The record is from RNAcentral. RNAcentral also lists the same sequence under 1 other name. Lineage: Bacteria; Pseudomonadati; Thermodesulfobacteriota; Desulfuromonadia; Desulfuromonadales; Desulfuromonadaceae.
GUCCCUAUCGUCUAGCCUGGCCCGGGACACCGGCCUUUCACGCCGGCGACGGGGGUUCGAAUCCCCCUGGGGACGCCA